UUAUUCCUAAGAUGUACGUGGAACAGACCAUUUUGACCGAACACCUAUACAUUGGGAGUUAUGUAUUUUAAUACAGCCAUAUCAUCCUUACUUAGACGUUCGUGAAUGAUUUUGUAUUAAAUCAGACACCCACCUGCCAUUAUGCGGGAUCAAAAUGUAUAUGUGAAACGGCAUAGUUGGGUGUAAU
Molecule: small RNA, 187 nt
Filed under: Candidatus Pseudogracilibacillus intestinigallinarum
Lineage: Bacteria; Bacillati; Bacillota; Bacilli; Caryophanales; Bacillaceae
Also listed under: 1 other name
Description: 6S RNA
Rfam family: 6S / SsrS RNA
About the family: E. coli 6S RNA was the first non coding RNA to be sequenced, but its function was unknown until recently. It consists of 184 nucleotides that fold into an extended hairpin structure with a large single-stranded internal bulge.
Source: RNAcentral